Molecule: long non-coding RNA, 37239 nt
Filed under: Sorghum bicolor (sorghum)
Lineage: Eukaryota; Viridiplantae; Streptophyta; Magnoliopsida; Poales; Poaceae
Description: long non-coding RNA (SBIC_LNC005034)
Source: RNAcentral
GCUACUAUCUAGAUCUACUCUAGUUUAGAGAAGAGAGGAGAGCUCUCAUCUCUAAACCCUAGCUUUUGCUCUGUCUAUGAAUAAUGAAUAAUGAUCAAGGGGGUGUUUCCUCCAGGGGCCAGGGGGUCUGGUUUUAUAGUCCCCUCAAGUGAACCUGGGCCAUCGGAUCAAACCGACAUUGAUUGAACGGUUAUUCUUGAUCCUUUAGGUCGGUGGAGCAUAAUCCGUGAGAUUGAGCGUGAUUGGCCACAGGAGGUGGGCGGGCGCCCUGUCCCUGACUCCGUUCGGUCUCCGCUUCCUUCCCGUGGCUUCUAGAGUCUUCUAGAUGUAAGAUAAUUGCGCGGCACAUUGAUAUCUCUAUGUAAUCCCGACGUGUGGGCCUUUCUUCCUUAUUUCCUGAUAACCCCCUACAGAAAUAGACAAACACCAAAACUCGUGGAAUUCUGUGAGAUAAAACCCUAAGUCUCGAUGUUGAUUUCAUUUGGAUCCUUUUCUUUGUUUAUUUGAUAGUUAAAUUUGAUACUUAAGGACCGUCAACAAACUCCCCCAAGCUUACCUCUUGCUCGUCCCUGAGCAAGGAUAGACUCAGCUAUGGAUCAUAAGUUGUUGCAAUAUCUUUAAAAAUUGACGGUACACAUGAUUUUAAAUGAGGUCUCAUCUCUGAGUUAGAGUAAACUGUCAAGACUUAAAACUUACUUACUUUACCUUUCACCAUGGGACUUGUAACCGUCACUUCUGUCUUGAGUGGUUAAAAGAUAGAACAGUCCAGUCAAGUGCCAUGUCGCUUAUUCUUGAUCAGCUAUAGCUCUGGAGUUUUUGCAGAUUUUCAAAUAAAACUCAGAGAUUCCUUUGUAUGACUCUCUCAUAUCUCUCUUUUGUGGUAUUUCUAGAUCCUUACCAAGGCAGUGAUGGUAUAUGUCUUCUCUCAAAAUAUGUGGUAUUUGUGGUAUAAGGGAUAGUGACAUUGUUUUCUCUCUCACCCUACUCUAAUAAGGCUUUAAUAUCUGGAGCUCAUAGGUGGGAGAUAAAAUAUACAUACUUACAAGACAUUUAUUGUAUAGUCAAACCAUGGAUCCAAAGAAACAAAUCAAUAAGCCAAAUCAAGAUGUGCAUGUGUGGCGAAUGAAUAGUGUAUGGUGAUGAUGGUGAUAACAAUGGUGAAAGUCUAAUUCUACUUUUGCUCUUUUGAGGGGAUACAUACCUUCCUUGCUUUUUGAAACUUUAUGAGGAGAAUGAGAUGCUCUUCUUUUUCUUUUCUCUCAGAUGGGUAUCCUGUACCCCUAAUUCUACUGUCGGACACUUGUCCAUUUUUACCUCUCGUCUCACUCUUUUUCUUUUCUUUCGAGGUUCCGGGCACUUGCCCCUUUUUAUUUCCUCGUUUAUUUUUUUUUUCUUUUUUUCUUUUCUUUUUUUUUUCUUCUUUUUUUUUCAGAGCACUCAUCUCUUGAGAUAAUAUAGCAAGUGGUAGUAGCAAGAUAACUUGAGCAUUUAUUUCACAAGGGAAAAACACAGAUGUUUUUGGCUAUUCUCUCCCGAAUUAGGAGUAGAAUAUUUUUAGGUGAUUCUAGAGAUGGAAAUGGAUGGAUAUAUGUGGAUGGUACUUCCAGAGUAGAAGUAGCAUAUAUAUGAGUGAACGUGCAAGUGAAUCUUGAUUUAACCACAUGACAAGCUCCUAAGGGUCUACACAGCUUGACCACACUCAAUGCUCAUAAGUAGUAAAUAAUAAAUGUGUGGCUCAAAGUCUAGCAAGCAUGUAUAUAUGGCUGUGGUAGGAAUUUAAACUUUCAUCAUACAGGAACUCAUCAUGCAACAUUUUAAAGAUUUUUCAAAGAUAAAAUUCUCCAGAAUUCUAGCAUCUCUAGGAAUAGAUAAACAGCAGUUCAACCUUCCCAUAUCAUAUCCGUUAACAACUUAGAUUUCAGAUCAAGUUUUCAUCCCACAAGUUUAGGUCUAGAGCAAGCUUUCAAUUAUCACAGUUAUAUCUAAACUUGAGAGAGAACUUAAAAUGUGCAAAUUAGGCAGAGCAACUAUUCAUCAUAUCCAUGCUUAAAUUUUAUUUAGAUACAGAUAGCCACUUUAUUUAUUUAUUAAACACACUAAGCAAAAGAUAUAUAAGCAUGAAAUCUUUAUUUGGUUUUUCAUAGUUUAUGUAUUUUAAUAUUCUAAAAUAAUAUAAGUAUAAAGAUAGAUAGAUAGAAAUACUUAUCGGGAAAAAUGGGGGUGCUCUCCCCCAAGCUGAAUUUUGACGUAAUUUCUCUUGAUGUAGCUAGCAGGUGGUAGAGGUGUAUUUGAAAGUCAGCAGCAUUCUGACAGCGAUUAGAAUGUCCUCCGUCUGCUAGUCUUCUUGAUUCUUAAAUUCUGUGGAGCUCAAAUAGACAACAAAGCUUUCGGCGAGGGUUCAAUGUUUUAAGUCUUCUUGUCAAGACUUCUCAUCGUGUUCAUUCUUCAGGUGCGUCAUUUGAUUCAGGUGCGGACCUUGACGUCUGCACCUUUUAAUACGGUGUCACCCAUGUUCUUCGUUUGCCCAGCAGUUCGAAGUGCGGUGUUAGCAGUAUCUUGCUCAGUGUGUUUGUGCUCGUAGUGUACCUGCUCAUAGAGACAAGGCAGAGAUCAUGUGCAUGGGCCCUGUUGGUGGAAAAUACCAACAGAACCAAAAGUGUAUUUGUUCUUCUCUAACCUUAAGCAUAGUGAGCAAGACAAGUUGAUGGAUGAUAAGUUCAUGAGUGUAGCACUUAUAACAUUUGUCAGAUCAGAUCGCUCAACCUUAUGGAAAGAUAAUCUAUCUAUGUAUAUGUCUUUUUCUUUAUAUCUCUCAAUGAUUGAAUGUGUAACAUUUUAGCUCAUAUGAUUAGGAGUGUGGGAUCAUGGAGGUAGUACUAAGAACAAGGAUUAAAGGACUAAACAUGUUGAAUUAGUUGGGUUGGUUAAUCUAGAGUUGUAAAUCAUACACGUUUGUCUCUUUUAUUUAUAUGAACGCCAGAACCAAGGAGAAGCUUAUAAAAGUGAUAGUCAAGUACCUUAAGAUGUUACCUUGCUCGAAGAGUGAUGGUAUAGUAUCAUCUUGUGGAAGCUUUCCUUUCUUAGCGGUUGGGCGUCGUGUUUGUGGUACCCUCCAUGGAUCAUCUCUUUAUGAUGAUGAGCUAUGUCAUUCUUGUGCUAAUUGUUAAACUUCAUGUGUCACUUUCUUCGUCUCUGAUGUGAGUUUAUCUCAGGACUUCCCAAAUCGAUAUCGAAAGUUUUUCUGCAGGGGUUAGUCCGACAAAAUAUACCAAUAUCUACUCAAGCAGUUUUUUUUAGUUCAAUAACCAAACUAGACUCCAUGUCUAAUCAGAUUAAGGAAGGCUAUUCAACCUAAGCACCAUGCUUAAUUUAAAUGCCAAUGGAAGUAUGGCGAGUACUUCCAAACCAACACUUGCUAGUAAAUAGACAAAGGUAGCAUGACAGCAUUUAUAGAGAUUUACUCAAGUGGAGAUGAAGUAGUGUGAUUAGUAUUUAACAAAUUGAGCAUGUCUCAAAGGUAGGGACAACCAGCAUAGCAACAUGGCAAAGGAUGUUUUUAUGUAAAGUACUCCCCCAAGCUUGAAUUUUGCAAAAUUCAAGUUUGGAUGAAUUUAAUUCAAUGUUGUAUGAUGAUUGGUUGGACAUACCUUGUGCUUGUCAUUCAUCCGAUCUUCUUGCUCCAAUCCUAGAAAGGUUAGUGACAAGAAUACCCGAAGGAAUAUUUUUUUACAAUUGUCCUUAUAUGCUCAAUACACAAGGUAAUGUUGCAAAUAAUUAAAAGCUCAUGUUACGAUCUGAUCAAUGCUUAUUUUAAGACACUAAGCUUGUCCUUAGGAAACCAUCAGUUUAUGUUGGCGAAGUGGUUUCCCCUCCGACGCCAACCUAUAUCUAGAUCAACUCAACGAGAUCUGCAAUAUUUAUUAUAGACAUAUGCAUCGACAACCGCCCUUUUAAAGUUUUUAUAAAUAGAAAGGAAGAGGGGGUUGGAGAUCUCAAGUGUGGUGAUGUCGGAGAGACCAAUAGAUUGGGAAGAUGUUGCAUAUGAGCAUGGAGUAAAUGAAGUGGCUAUGAAAUAAAUUCCAUGCUCAUUAAUGUUAUCUUCGUCUCUAAUCUGAAUGUUCGGAGUUUCUCCUGGAUUGGUCUCACCUAUGUCCUCUUCUGUAGUUGGAUGAAUCUCAUCUUCAAAGGGAGUCAAGUACUCACCAUUUGAAAUUGAGCCAAAGUCAGAACCUAUUAAGGCUUCUUCCUUAUCCAUCCAUUCUACACAUUCUAGCCAUUUAGAACUUGUGAUCAGGAAACGGGAGUAGAUAGAAUUGUCUAUAUGGCUUAGCUCUCCUUCACUUGAUAUGUCAUCCUCGACUUCUUCAUGAUAGGAACCAGGACAUUCUCUAAGAGAAACAUUAUUGCAAUGAUUUGAAUUAUCCCUGCUUGAAGGUCUCUUAUAGAACCAGAAGUCUAAACCAUCAGCAUCUAAAAGAUUUAAGGUCGGAAUUCCUUCCUCCCUUGGAGAAUUUUGGGGUAUUGAUGGUUUAGGAUCGAUAGCUAAAGUUUGGGAUUGAAGUGGUUGUGAUCUGGCUAUCGAAACUUCUUCUUCUUGUCUAGGAAUUGGUUCUUUCUCUUUCUCAGGGAUAUAAAAGCUAGGAGACUUUCCGCUCAUUAAAUCAAUCAAAUUCCAAGCUUCACUAGUGGAUAGGUGGUGGAAAGAUCCUCCAGAGGCCGCAUGAAGGGUUUGCUUAUUUUUCCUACUAAGGCCCUCAAAAAAGUGAAUUAGAAGAACUUCUUCUGGAAUAGAAAGUUUUGGGCCAGUGAGAGUAAGGUUAAUAAAGCGGUCCCAUGAUUUGCCAAGAGAUUCUUCUUCCAGUUGUCUAAAAGAAAGAAUCUCACGCCGAAGUUCCACCACUUUGGAGAUUGGAAAAUAUUUAGAAAGAAAACUACUAUAUAACUCCUUCCAAUCUCCAUGAACACUCCCUACUUUGAGUUUAUACCAAUGUCAAGCUUUUCCCGUUAAAGAGAACGGAAAGAGCUUCCAUUUAAGGGUCUCAUCGGACAUGCCUUCUAUGCGAAGGAGGUCACAGACUCGAUAAAACUCUCUUAGGUGUGUGUAUGGGUUUUCCUCACCUUUUCCUGAGAAAGGUUGUUUUUGAAUAAAUUCUCUAUAUUCGGGGUCUAUCUCAAAACUAGAUGCUACGAUAGGCUUUGAAGAUUUUGGUGGUUCGAGAUGUGUGCCCAUAGGUCUAUGAAAUUCAUAGAUAGACAUGUUUGAAUUCAUAAUAGACCAAAGAUCAAGGAUUAGAUAAGAAGAAAGAAUAGCAGAGAUGAGGCAAAGGAUAAAAGGAAAAUAUUUUUUUUUUGUUAUAUAUAUAUUUUUUAUAUAAAAUGAUUAAACUAGUUCGUAGACAACUCAGCAACCGUUUCCCCGGCAACGGUGCCAAAAAUGCUUGUUGACACUUGCUAACACCACUUGAAUACUAGGUUGUCAUCCCCAGCUUGGCACUAGAGUGUACUAUGGUAUUUAUACGCACACAGAUAAUCCGCAAGCGCACGGAUACCGUUGAAGCUUUUACCCGGUUAAAGGUUUUAUCGUAUCCACAGGGAAAUGGGAGAACUGAUCUACGCUCUAACUUAACCAAGAUAAGUAAAUAGGUGUGAAUAGGAAAGAUGGUAGAAUCAAAUAAGAACAAUAUUAAAGGUAAGAUAAUAGUGAGUGAUAAAAUGGGAAUUGAGACUAGAGCAAUUCUAGUAUAUGGGCGAUGGUAGCAGAAUAGAGAGGAUAACUAUGGUUUCUCUACUUCAAAGGGGUAUGGCUAUGUCUGGGACGAACCACGUGAUAAGAGUACACCACAAAGGAUGCUUAUCCAUAGGCCUAUAAACACUACCCGUCCUGCUAACGAGAGGUGGACUACAGGGGACCAACGUAACUGUCACCUACGCGGCCUACCACACGAUCCAGCUAGUCAGGGGAUAUCCACAAGUAAUCUAGGUCUAAGCACCACGCUUACACCUAUACUACAACUCUAACCUAUAGGGUCCUAUAGAUUAGAAGUACUCAAAAGAGUAGUGAACCAGAACAUACAUGAUUAGUAAUUGCAUAAUGAAUUAGAAGUAGAUUACCAGAGUCAUCCCAUGAGCAAGCUUGAUUAGAGCUUGAUCAUGGCGAAGUACAACCGGAGGAAGAACCGACAGGCCGGCCUCUCCUCUAAUCCUCCUUCGCUCUCCAUCUCGCUACUAUCUAGAUCUACUCUAGUUUAGAGAAGAGAGGAGAGCUCUCAUCUCUAAACCCUAGCUUUUGCUCUGUCUAUGAAUAAUGAAUAAUGAUCAAGGGGUGUGCCUCCUCCAGGGGCCAGGGGGUCUGGUUUUAUAGUCCCCUCAAGUGAACCUGGGCCGUCGGAUCAAACCGACAUUGAUUGAACGGUUAUUCUUGAUCCUUUAGGUCGGUGGAGCAUAAUCCACGAGAUUGAGCGUGAUUGGCCAUAGGAGGUGGGCGGGCGCCCUGUCUGUGGCCCCGUUUCGCCUUCGCUUCGGUCUCGUGGCUUCUGGAGUCUUCUAGAUGUAAGAUAAUUGCGCAACACGUUAAUAUCUUUACGUAAUCCCGACAUGUGGGCCUUUCUUCCAUAUUUCCUGAUAACCCCGACAAACACCAAAACUCGUGGAAUUCUGUCAGAUAAAACCCUACGUCUAGAUGUUGAUUUCAUUUGGAUCCUUUUCUUUGUUUAUUUGAUAAUUAAAUUUGAUACUUAAGGACCGUCAACAUUUGCAAGCCACCUACCCAACAAUUCUAUUUGCUAUGAUCACUAUGCACACAAGAACUAAGUCUCUACAAGUUACACUAGUGAACUAAGCUACACAAUGCAAAGUAAGCAACUAAAACUAAUUACACUAGUUUGCGAUGAGUAAUAGAUAGGAUGAGAUAUUUAUACCACUAUGUAGGGGAUGAACCAAUCACCAAUAUAAACAAUCAAGCACCGGGAGAAAGCCAAUCAAACACAAUUGCGACACCAAUUUUUCUCUCGGGGUUCACGUGCUUGCUGGCACGCUACGUCCCCGUUGUGUCGACCAACACUUGGUGGUUCGGUGGCUAAGAGGUGUAGCACGAACCUCGUCCUCACUAGGACACCACAAGAACCUACCCACAAGUGAGGUAGCUCAAUGACACGAGCAAUCCACUAAUGUUGCUGUUGGGUACCAUAAAAAGGGAUACCCAAAUUAGAGCAAUAAAAAACGCAAAAGACAAAGAAAAUUAACCACAAUCACUAGGGCACGGGCCCCAGCUCAUCUGACUCCUAGGCCUCAGGUCCAAACCACGACUCGCCCGACCCCUCAGGGCCUCGGACGCAAGUUCCGUCUCGCCCGACCCCUCAGGGCCUCGGACGCAAGUUCCGUCUCGCCCGACCCCUCAGGGUCUCGGACGCAGACACCGCCUCGCCCGAUCCCCUCGGCCUCAGGCGUAAAUCCCGCCUCGCCCGACCCCUUCAGGGCUCGGGCGCCGGGCGCCGCUCCACCGGAUCAGCAAGACUUCCACCGCACGGCGCCCGUACCCACGACGUGACACGCGCGGUGACUCCCAUACCACAGCAGGACAGGGUGGCGACUGUUCCAACCACCCUGGGCACUGCAGCCUUACCUCUUUCACUGUGCGACCUUACCUCUUUCACUGUGGUGUACCGCCUCACAGUGAAAAGGGAAUGGGGGAGGUUAAUCAGCAUCACUAUUUGCUGUCUUCUCCCACUAUUGACAGGAUGAUCAGCAGUACCACCGAACCGACCCCCAUGACUCCUACAGGGCUCGGUAACCCUCCACAGGAGCAACCAUGCUGCCAGCCAUUCCUCAAGGACAAGAUGGACAGGCUUCAACAGGGUAGGGACUGUAACUCUUCCACUCGGCAGGAGGAAAUCUACGCAUGUAAAUCCCUAUCUCCCCUUGAGGCUAUAAAAGGGGAGCCAGGGCUCAAAACUAGGUUCAGGUUCACACACGCACAACCACCGUGCUCAUUCACAGAGCAGCGACCAGCACUCUGUCCACCACAAAGUCGAGACCUGGGACUUAGCCCUCUCUCGCAACCUGCUUGUACCCCCCUAGUACAAGCACCUUUGGGUGCAAGGAUAUACAGACCCCCGAUCCCACUGGACGUAGGGCAUUCCAGGCCAGAACCAGUAUAAACCCUUUGUGUCUCACUUGCAUCACCAUCCAGGCUUGGGUAGUCACGCAAACUUAUACUCGUUUGUGUCUAGACCACGAGUCUAGACGCCGACAGUUGGCGCGCCAGGUAGGGGCCUUCUGUGUGACAUUCACCUGUCCUUACUAGGAAGGCUUGGAUGGCAGACGAAUUUCACCCACUCCGCCGCGGCACCAUCAUGAUGUUCCGGAGUUUGGAGUUCAUGUCCCUCGGCUCCAGCUAUGACAUGGUCCUUCUCCCGCCACGUGGUGAUGUCGAGCCUCGCCCUGAGCCGAUCCCACCACAGUCAGUGCGUGGGAGCCGCUCGGGACACCGUGCGGGGGGCACCCAGCGGGGGCGUCAGAAAUCCAGGAUCUCUGACCCUACCACUGAGGCCAGGGUCCGUCCGGCCCUCCCCCCGCAUAUUCCUCACCAGGUCGCCCGUUCCUCCGGCCCGACAGGCGCUAGAGGAAGGGCUCGCGGGGCAUCAAGCUCCGCUCCCCGGACCAACAGAGGGUCGUCGCGACCGCCUGUCCCGCCCCGGUCGAAGGGGAAGGCACGGCCCGCGCCCGUCUCCCGUGAGGGGGACAAAGGGGCCUCAACAUCCCGUCAUCCUCCACCUGUGGAUGGAGGAGAGGUAGCGGCACCUCCCGAGUUCCCUUUCGGGCUCAGGAAUGCAGCCGCCGCCUAUGCCUCUUCCGUGAGCACUUCGUUAAGUGCAUACGUGGAUCUUCUAGGGCACCACUUGAGAUCUACCCUGGACCUCAUCUCCACACCGCCCAUUUCGUCGUACCCAGAGGAUCCCACCUCAGGCGAUGAUGAGUGGGCCGGCGCUGACUUUUCUGGGUGUGGCGACCCGGAGACCUUCAUGCGCUUCUUGGAGGCCAGUAACUACUGUCUCGGCUACUACGACUCUGACGACAGGAGCUAUGACCCGUCACGAGAAUGCUUCAACCUGGAAGUAGGAGGGACGCCGCAUAACGCCCAGGGGGGCGCAGGACCCUCUAGGCAGGAGAAUGCAACCCCACUCCCAACCCUACUCCCGGGACCGAUCCUGGAGCCCGUGGGGUAGCAUCAGCGCCGUAGGAGGACACCGCCCUUAGUUCGAGUAGCUCAAUGAGCUGGAGGCCAGGCUCGAAGAAGAACGCGCAUGCCUCCGCCAACUCCGUGAGGCCCUGGUCUGAGACCCGUCCGGCCGCGGAGACGGGGGUGAGCCUAGGUGCCGCGCCCGUGACGUCAACCGCCGUAUUGUCGAGGACCAAGGGGGUGACGCCCCGGUCUUCAGCACGCCCAGCCAGAAUGUGAUGGCCGCUACACUCCUCCUCAGGGCGAUGCCCGAGCCAUCGACCCCUGAGGGAAGGAGAGUGCGCCAGGGGCUACGUGGCCUCCUAGAGCAGGAUGUGGUGCAGAACGCGGAAAGUUCUGCAUCACAAUCCCACGGCACGAGACGUCAAGAGGACCGACCCCCUCGUAACAAGGCACCAACGGUGCAAGGUCCGCCGCCUCCUAACCCACAAGGGGGCAACAGGGCCCCAUCUAUCCACGAGCGCGUCGGGGCUGACGUGGACAUUCGGGCCACCCUGGAGGCCAGAUGGCGUGACAGGGAUGAGGCCGAGUCUCGACGAUAUCGGCCGCGCCGAGGCGGGAGGUUCGACCCCGACCAUGACCGUAGCACGUCGCUAGAGCCCCCGGGUCCCCGCGUCUUCAGCGAGGCCAUACGUAGGGCCAAGUUCCCGGCGCGAUUACGACAGCCCGCCAACCUCACCAAGUACUCAGGGGAGACAAACCCCGAGCUCUGGCUGGCGGAUUACCGCCUAGCAUGUCAGCUUGGCGGAGCGGACGAUGACCUACUCAUCAUCCGCAACCUCCCACUGCAUCUGGCCGAUACGGCCAGAGCAUGGCACGAGCACCUUCCUGACCGCAUGAUCCAUGACUGGGCCAACCUAGUCAAGAUCUUCGUCGGGAACUUCCAGGGCACUUAUGUGCGCCCUGGGAACUCCUGGCACCUCAGGAGUUGUCGGCAGAAGCCCGAUGAGUCCCUCCGAGACUUCAUCAGGCGAUUCUCCAAACAGUGCACCGAGGUCCCCAACAUCACGGACUCCGACGUCAUCGGAGCCUUUAUUUCCAGCACCACUUGCAAGGAGCUCGUACACGAGCUCGGACGCAAGACCCCCACGAGCACUAGCCAGCUGCUCGACAUCGCCACCAACUUCGCCUCAGGCGAAGAGGCAGUUGGCGCUAUUUUCUCUGACGGCGCAGCCAAGGGGAAACAGAAGGCCGAGGCCACCGAGGCCUCAGGCUCACGUGACCCCAAGAAGAAGAAGAAGGGUCGCAAGGGGAGGUAGGGUCAGUCGGACGACAACUUAGUCGCCACAGCAGAUCGCAAGAACCCCAAGCGGGCUCCCGCCGGCCCCGGUCUCUUCGACGAGAUGUUGAAGAAGCCGUGCCCCUAUCACAGGGGACCAACCAAGCACACCCUUGAGGAGUGCACUGUCCUGCAUCGGUACUAUACCGACAUCAUCGCCAAGGAGGGCGCUGAAGAGCCCCCCAAGGACGACGACCCUCAGGGGGAAGGCUUUCCCAAGAUCAAGAACUGCCUCUUGAUCUUUGGGGGACGUGCGGCUCACCUCACUGCAAGUUAGAGGAAGCGCGAACUCUGAGAGGUUUGCGCAGUCAGCACGGCCACGCCCUCGUACCUUAAGUGGUCCGAGAGCGCAAUCACGUUCGACCGACAGGAUCACCCGGAUCGGAUCCCCAAUCUCGGGAGCUAUCCUUUGAUCGUCGACCCCAUCAUCGCCGAGACCCGUCUCACCAAGGUGCUCAUGGACGGAGGCAGCGGCCUCAACAUCCUCUACGCCGAGACUCUGGCCCUCAUGGGGAUCAGCAUGUCCCGGCUGAGGAACGACACAGCACCAUUCCAUGGAGUGGUGCCGGGACAUCGUGCCCACCGCCUCGGACAGAUCGAUCUGCCCGUCUGUUUUGGGACCCCGACAACUUUAGAUGGGAGGUCCUCACUUUCGACGUGGUCGGGUUCCCAUGGACCUACCACGCAAUUCUGGGACGACCCUGCUACGCCAAGUUCAUGGCCGUCCCCAACUAUACCUACCUCAAGCUCAAGAUGCCGGGGCCAAAAGGCAUCAUCACCGUCAGCACGACCAGUCAGCACGCCUAUCAGUGCGACGUUGAAUGCAUUGAGUAGGCCGAGGCUCUGGCCGAAUCUCUGGCCAUCCUUACCGGCAUCGGCGACUGCGACCAGGACGUACCUGACCCCAAGCGUCAUGCCAGGAGCUUCAAGCCGGCGGAGGAGACUAAGCUAGUCUUCCUCGACCCCGGGGCCUCUGAGGGUAGGGCGUUGAGGAUCAGCUCCAGCCUUGACCCCAAAUAGGAAGUGGUGCUCGUCGACUUUCUCCGCGCAAAUGCCGAUAUAUUUGCGUGGAGUCCCUCGGACAUGCCUGGUAUACCGAGGGAAGUCGCCGAGCACUCCUUGGACAUCCGAGCCGGCUCCAAACCCGUGAAGCAACGCCUGCGCCGAUUCGACGAGGAGAAGCGUUGGGCCAUCGGGGAGGAGAUCCACAAGCUGCUGGCGGCCGGAUUCAUCAAGGAGGUAUUCCAUCCCGAGUGGUUAGCUAACCCCGUGCUAGUGAAAAAGAAAAAUGGGAAGUGGAGGAUGUGUGUAGACUAUACUAGUUUAAAUAAAGCAUGUCCAAAGAACCCCUUUCCAUUACCUCAUAUUGAUCAGAUAGUUGACUCCACCGCGGGAUGUGAAAUUUUAUCUUUUCUUGAUGCUUAUUCCGGUUACCACCAAAUCAAGAUGAAAGAGUCCGACCAGCUCGCGACUUCUUUCAUCACUGUGGCAGAACCUCCUAAGUGUUUGGGCCCACCGACACCUGCCAUUGUCCUAAGGACCUCUGACGGUGAUGCCGGGAGUCCUCCCACUUUAGAAGUCCGAUGAGCAUUGCUGGGCGCUCAUUCCACUGCUACCUGUGGCGUACCAAGCUGGCUCGUCCUGACCACUGGUAAUGGUCAAACAACGAGAACUGUUUCUUCUCGCCCUUACAGGAUAGCAAGUGGCCACCUUAACACCAGGAUCAUUCGUUGCGAAGAUAAAGCAGUAACUCAACGACACAAGACCAAAAUAAUAUUUCAGAGUGAAACAGCGGAAGUAUUACAUAACUUAAUUUAUAAAAGGAGUUCUUCCAAAUAGUAGAGUGUUAUUACAAGCCUGGUCCAGCGGAGCAACAGAGACUUUAGUACAGACAGAACAAAUUUACAGACCCUGCCCAUGGGUCGCGCUCACUCUUCUUCGUCGUCAACCUCGACGACGGUCACACAACAGGGUCCGAAACAAGUCGGCUCCUGAGCUUCACCUGCAACAGGGGUAUUGAAACCCUGAGUACGGGAGUACUUAACAAGACUUAUCCGACGGGAAAAGAGGAGAAUUUAGGGAUGCAGGCUUAGGGUAGACAAGGGGUGGCUGAUCAAGGAGCCAAAGUGUUUUGCGUAAAAGCUUACUAGUAGUGCAUCCUUAUUUUCAAGUUUUACCCCGAAUUCCUCCCUCGCAGAGGCAGAGGAAUUCGAGGAUAGUUUAACUAGUUGUACCUCACAGACGAGUCCGUGAGUCCCUAGUCCUAUCAUAAAGUAUUAUUUAUCGAUGGCCAUAGCUUCAUGUCGCUAUGAGUCCGGGAAUUGGGAUCCGAACCUCAUGAGACAUUUUCCCCUUUCUCAUUUUAUCACUUAGUUGCAUAUUUAACUACGAUGAGGGUCGAAGGAAUUGAGUCUCCCAAUCGGGGAGCAACGACGAUUCGAAUCGCUUAGCAAUCCAGCUGGAGUUCCUAACCACCCGACAUAUGUAGAACCAAAUCUUGCAUAUGUCAACCCAAAGCAAGCUCUCCCCAAAUUUGACCAGGUUCGCGGCACCCGAGAGCACAGUACUCCACCAUCCUACAGCCGAUCUAGAUGUUUUCCGGUCAUCUCAGAUCCGUAAGGUGGGUACACACUACUCUCGCCAUCUUUCCACUCCCAGUGCGCGAGUAGCUGUUCGCGUCGAGGGAUCACAAGACCGGGCUUACCGAAGGCAAGUGGCUAGUACUAUAAAUUCUCAACCCAGCAGGCCAUCAACGGACCGGUCCUUAACCGACACAGUUGGAGACACUACUUUAAGACUCCAUUCUUAAAGCAAGUCCACCGACCGGUCUCAAGUUAAAACAUCAUUGACCAUAAGUGCAUCCCACAACAACCCUUCAAACUUUCUUGUUUAAAAACCUAUCUAGUAGCAGGGCUAAGCAUCGCUACGCAGUUUUAAAAUAAAACAGGUGUCAAGGACAGGAUACAGAUAUCAAGGUAGUAAAUGCAGCAAGUAGGUUAACCCAAUUCUCAUCUACCUAAUGCAGCAUUUUCCAUUCAUAAGUGAUAAAAGAUUUAAAACAUCCAAGGAGGGGUUAAUGCAUCCGGGGCUUGCCUUGGUUGCAGGGCAGAGAGGGACCCUCGGAGACUUCCCAAGUCUCGGAUCCGACUUCCUCGAAUGGAGCACCGACCUCGGGGUUCGGUUCAACGGGCGCUCCUUCGGUCACGGACACUAUACGCAAAAUGAUGAAUGCUUAUGAUAUGCGUAUGGCAAUUAUGCAAGAUGGACCGAAUUAAGUACGAUUUGCCUUUUUAAUGCAAUACAGAAUUGUCACUAAAUAAAGUUGUUUAAUAACUUAAUGAUUUUACUUAAGAGGUUGCAUCUAUAAACUAAAACUUUAUUUAAUUCAUACUUACCUUAAAUUGGUUAAUUAUUAACCCUAAUUACCUUAAUUAACUCUUAAUUAAUUACUAAUGACAGUAAUUAAGCAUUAGGGCUAAACAACAGUUAAAUGCCAAAGGUCAUUAGGGUUAAUGACCUCAGGUCAUCAUACAAUCCAAAAUCACUCAACUCUAAUUAUGAGGAUCUAAAUAAUCACUAUUUAAUUAUUUUGGAAAGAUUAGUUAAAUACUAAAUAAGGGUUUAUUAAUAUUUUAACUAAACCUUAUCCAAAUGCCACCAAAUUUUAGGUGGAGCCAGGGAAUAAUAUUCAGAGGCUCCCCAAAAUUUUUGGUGAUUUUUGGAUAUACAGUUAAAUUAUUAAAAAUCAUACAAGUUUUAUUUGCUAAUUAAAAGGGCCAAUUUUUGUAUCCUUGCAAACUAUUAGAAAUCAGAACCUAGUAUUUUUCUUGGAUCCUACAUAUUUCAGAGAGCUUAUACAAAAAUUCUCAUUAUUUUUGGAUCAUCACACGAUUUAUUACACAAAUUCAAAUAUAAAACAAAAACUGCAUAAAAGAAAAAAAAGAAAAGACACUGCAGCGGGUGGCCGGAUUUCGGCCCGCAGGCCGGCCCGCUUCGGCUCGGCCCGCACGGACGCUGCGCACCCCGCCUUCUCUCCGCGCGGUCGCUGACAAGCGGGGCCUGCUCGUCAGCCCCCCCCCUUCCUUCCAGCGAGACGCUGACAGGACGACCCCGCCUGUCAGCUGCGUCUCCUACGCGCACGGCGGCGCUGCCGCAGCUCCGGUGGCCGCUAGCGAGGUCCCUGGCCCCCGCGUGCGCGCGCACCAGCUCCGCCUCACCUCCGCGGACCCCUCUCUACCACGAACUCGCGCUCUACUGCCUUCUUCCUAUCGCAACCGCGUCACCGGCGGACGGCCGCCAUGGCCGACUAUCGGCCGACCACUAGGACCCGGUAGAGUGCAAGCCGACGGCCUAGGGAGCUCCCACAGGGGUUGGGGAGGAUGGUGCUCACGCUGCAAGUCUCGGGGAAGCAGCUGAAGCCGCUGGCGACGGGAGCAGUGUCGUCGGGCGGGGGCUCUGGCUCCGGCAAGCUCGUUCCGGCAAUCCUGCUCACAAUCACAGAGAGGGAGCGAGCGCAUGAGCGGCCGGGGCACGGGAGGAACGUGAAACAGUCGCCCGUGGGGUGUGAUACUCACUGGAACACCGUGGCCACGGGAAGAACUCCGCGGCGGCGGUCUCGGCCGGAGUUGGAGAAGAGGGAGGAGCUCUGGCGUUUGAGGGGGUUAGGGCGUGAGCUUGGGGGUGCUCUGGUUCCGCAAGGAGAUGGCGAAGACACUGGGUUGCUCAAUUCGGCUCGGGAAGGAGUGGUUAGGGCGAAUUUGGAAGAAAAAGGCUCGUCGGGUUCCUUGGCUCAGGACGGAGGGAAUGCACGGCGUCGUCCACGCUGCGCUCAAAUGGAGGGGAAAGCAAGCCCGAGGCAUCCACGUCGCCUGGCGACCCUGGCAGCAAGCAGCUGCGUGCACUCACGCAUGCGCGCGGCGCUGCUCGCGCGGCAGCUGCGCUGGGCAGGGAGCCGGUGAUCCCUAUCGGGUCACUGUAGCAACCCCUAUCUUCCCCCUUUUGUCCCCUUGCGAAAAUCAGCCAAAAUUUGAACUAAAGUCCAAUUUCCACCAAAACAAAAGUUGUGCCAAAUUUUGUAAACUACAAAUCAUAUUUAGGUGUCCCAAGCUGAUUCUCACUGGAAAUAGGUGAAUUUUGCCAGACAGUUUGAAAAUUCAAACUCAAAUCAAAGAAAUUCCAAAUUUUUGAAUUGGGGCAAAACAGAAUUUCCAAAAUUACUUUUGAUUUUGUAUAACAACUUGAAAAACUCCCAACAUGAAAGUUGCUCAACUUUUUGUGCUCUACAACUUUCAUGUUGACCACUUUUCAAAAUUCCAAAUGGAUUUUGAAUUGGGGGUUUAAGUUGGAAAAGGGGACACUUUCUGGAAAUCUGUAUUUUCAAAAUUACUUUGAAUUUUGUAUUGAAACUUCAAAAACUCAAAACACCAAAGUUGUACAUCUUGCCCAGAGCUACAACUUUGCUUUUGAACUCAACCUCAAAUUUUGCUUAGUUUUUGACUUAAGCAAAAGGGGACAAAUCUAGGAUCCAGAAAUCAGGGUUUUUUCCCCCCCUUAGCUUUUCGGAAAACUUCCACCCAAGGGUUUUAGCAACCACACAAGCAACAACACACCACAGAAGCACACUCUACUUCCCUAAGCUCAAGCAAUCAAAGUAAACUUAUUUUAAGUUGAUGCAUACUAAUGUGCUUUAACAAUUAUGCUUUGCAAUGCUUAUGAUGACAUGAUCCGUUUUUAGUAACCGUAACAUCAGGGAUGUUACAAUCACCCCUUUUGGAAUGUAUUGCUACGUAACCAUGCCUUUUGGCCUCAAGAACGCGGGGGCUACAUAUCAAUGAUGUAUGCUCCAGGUCUUUGGGAACCUUAUAGGCAAAACAGUGGAGGCCUACGUAGACGACAUUGUCGUCAAGUCCAGGAAAGCAAGUGGCCUAGUUGCCGACCUGGAAGAAACGUUCCAAUGCCUUAGGGCAAAGGGGAUUAGACUCAACCCCGAAAAAUGCAUUUUUGGGGUCCCCCGAGGCAUGCUCCUCGGGUUUAUUGUGUCUGAGCGAGGGAUCGAGGCCAAUCCAGAAAAGGUCUCGGCCAUCGCAAACAUGGGCCCGAUUCGUAACCUAAAGGGAGUACAGAGGGUCAUGGGAUGUCUAGCCUCCCUAAGCUGUUUCAUCUCUCGUCUCGGGGAAAAAGGGCUACCUCUGUAUAGGUUACUUAGGAAAUCCGAGCAUUUUUCCUAGACCCCCGAGGCCCAGGAAGCCCUCGACAAGCUCAAGGCUCUGCUCACCAACCCUCCCAUUCUGGUGCCCCCCACCGAGGGGGAACCACUUCUUCUCUACGUCGCAGCCACCGAUCAGGUGGCCAGUGCAGCUAUCGUGGUCGAAAGGAAGGAAGAGGGGCACGCCCUGCCGGUCCAAAGACCGGUGUACUUCAUCAGCGAAGUACUAUCCGACACAAAGACCCGAUACCCCCAAAUCCAAAAACUACUCUAUGAUGUAGUUUUGGCCCGACGGAAGCUCCGCCAUUACUUUGAGUCUCAUCCAGUCUCGGUGGUGUCAUCUUUCCCUCUGGGGGAAGUGAUUCAGAGCCGAGAGGCCAAUGGUAGAAUUGCUAAGUGGGCUAUAGAGCUCAUGGGUGAUGGGAUCACCUAUGAGCCUCGGAAAGCCAUAAAAUCCCAAGUCCUGGCAGAUUUUGUAUCACAGUGGACUGGGACUCAGCUCCCCCCACCACAAAUCUAGCACGAAUGCUGGACCUUGUACUUCGACGGGUCUCUGAUGAAAACUGGGGCCGGCGCGGGCCUCGUCUUCAUCUCACCCCUCGGGGUAAGGAUGCGGUAUGCAAUCCGACUCCAUUUCCCCGCCUCGAACAAUGCAGCCAAGUACGAGGCCCUCGUCAAUGGUCUCCACAUCGCGAUCGAGCUCGGGAUCAAACGACUCGAAGUCCGAGGUGAUUCUAGACUCAUCAUCGACCAAGUCAUGAAAGAGUCUAGUUGCCACGAUCCCAAGAUGGACGCGUAUUGCAAAGCGGUCCGAAGGCUGGAGGAAAAGUUCGACGGCCUCGAGCUUAUCCACGUGCAAAGGAAAUACAAUGAGGCCGCCGACACACUCACCAAGAUGGCAUCCAAGCGGGCCCCGAUCCCCCCGGAUGUUUUCGUCAGCGACCUCUACAAACCUUCCAUCGACUACAAAGACGACGGGGGGUCGGACGAACCCCCAAGUGAACCGAGCUCCGACCCAAAGACUCCGCCGCUCAAGAACAGGAGGCCAUGGACAUCGAGCCAGAGCCACCUACGUCUGACGACUCGCCUGACUGGCACUACCCUUUGCUUCAACGCCUAGUCGACGGCACUCUGCCCCCAGACCAGGCUGAGGUGAGGCGCGUGGCUCGUCGCGCCAAGACCUUUGUCCUCCUUGACGGAGAGAUGUAUAAGUGCAGCCCCUCGGGCAUCCUUAUGCAUUGCAUCCCACGUCAGGAGGGAAUCAAGCUCCUGCAGGACAUACACUCGGGGGCUUGUGGCCACCACGCCGCACCUCGGACGCUGGUAGGAAAUGCCUUCGGGCAAGGCUUCUACUGGCCCACCGCCGUGGCCGAUGCCACGGAGAUCGUGCGGACCUGUGAGGGAUGCCAGUUUUACGCUCGGCAGAUUCAUCUCCCCGCUCAGACCCUGCAGACGAUCCCCAUCACCUGGCCUUUUGCUGUCUGGGGCCUCGACCUGGUCGGGCCUCUGCAGAAAGCACCCGGGGGCUUCACCCACUUGCUUGUCGCAAUAGACAUGUUCUCCAAGUGGAUCGAGGUCCGACCUAUCACAAGGAUCAAGGCCGAACAAGCAGUGCUGUUCUUCACAGAUAUCAUCCACCGAUUUGGAGUGCCGAACUCCAUAAUCACCGAUAACGGCACACAGUUCACCGGGCGAAAGUUCCUGGAGUUCUGCGACAGACACCACAUACGUGUGGACUGGGCAGCAGUGGCUCACCCCAAGACCAACGGUCAAGUGGAGCGUGCCAAUGGCAUGAUGCUCCAGGGUCUGAAGCCCAGGAUUUUCAACCGGCUGAACAAGUUUGGAAAAAGGUGGCUCAAAGAGCUACCAGUCAUGGUCUGGAGCCUAAGAACCUCCCGGAGCCGAGCCACAGGCUUCACCCCGUUCUUCAUGGUCUAUGGGUCAGAAGCCGUCCUCCCCACUGAUCUAGAGUAUGGGUCUCCAAGGGUGCAAGCUUACGACGAAAAUAGCUGCAAAACGUUCCAAGAAGACGUGCUGGACUAGCUGGAUGAAGCCAGAGACGUAGCCCUCCUACACUCCGCCAAGUACCAGCAGGCCCUCUGCCGAAACCAUGCGCGACGAAUCCGAGGCCGAGCCUUUCAAGUCAGCGACUUGGUGCUGAGGCUCAUACAGAGCAACAAGGGUCGUCACAAGUUCGCACCCCCCUGUGAUGGACCCUUCGUCAUCGCCGAAGUCCUCCGACCCGGCACCUACAAGCUCGCCAAUGAAGCAGGGGAGGUCUUCAAAAACACGUGGAACAUAGAACAACUACGUCGCUUUUACCCUUAGAAUUCUGUAAAAAAUUUUCGUUUGUUCAAUAAAUGAAAGUUUAAGUUAUAUGGCCUUUUUCUAUCAGAGAGCCUCGGACCUGCCUAGCAGAGUCCGAGCCUCCCUCGGGGGCUACAUGGGGGGAACCCCCUGUGGCGACUCCAAAUCUUUUUUCCUUUUUUUCGCACGAGUUAAAGGAACCCCGACCCAAGGUCUUCCUCCUAUUCCCUAAAAAGAUUUAAGAAACCGAAAAUUCAUCCCCUGAAUCUUAAGGCAUGAGCCCGAGGAAAGAUCCGCGCUCACGAGCAAAGACGACCUGUACUCACCUUAGGGUCGGGGGGCGGAUCCACACUUCAAAAAGCUACUAAGGAAAAAGGAAAAAGACUUAGGCUCGGGGACUCUGACUAGCGCAAAACUCUAAGUAGCUCACCCGACCUCGCGCUGCCGAGGUCGGGUCGGCAUAAGGAAAAAGAAAACAAGACACUUAGGAAAAAGCCUAAAAGGAACAGUCAUAUAAAUAUCCAUACUUGGCAUUAAUAUUGUAUAUACAAUACAAGACCCACUGGCCUUAACAUCUACAAAAAGAAAAAGAAAUCUAACUUAAAGGGCCUUGUUGCCCUGCCUGCGCAGGCCCUUGAACCCCGAGGGGGGGAAGCUCCACCUCGUCAUCGAAGAAGGCGGCAAAGGCAUCCCCGGGGACAGUCGCGGCAUCCUCAAGCCUCUGCACCUCCUCCUGGGCCUCCGUCUCAUCAUCGGGGAGGACGUAGCCCUCACAGACCGCCGGCAAGUCAAUGCCGGCAUAGUGAAAGCUCACCACCGCCAGGGCUUUCUUCACCCCGGCGUGGAGCGCCUCCCUCAUCCUCUCCUCGGCCCGGGAGUAAAGGGCUUCGACCCGACUCCGCAGCGACGAUCUCGACGCCGGCACCCCGAGCCCCUCACACGCCGAGGUGACCACGGCUUCAAGAGCCGAGAGGUCCGAAACCUCGGUGUCAAGGGACCUCUGCAGGGCCUCGGCAGUAGAGGUCGCCUCGACCACCUUCCUCUCUAACUCUGUUGAAAAGCAGAACAAAAAAUGAGAAGUCAGGAAAAUUAACCCAAAGAACAAAGGGGGCCGAGGUAUAAAACGCAAGUCUUACCCUCGGCUCGCUUCUCGUGCUUCGCCGAGCUCCGAUGCCAGCGGGCCACCUGGCUCUGAGAAGCAGCAAGGUCAGCCUGAGUUUGGUUCAGGGCAAGGUCUUUUUCGGCGAGCAAAGCCUCAAGCCGAGCAACCUCACACUUAUACCUCUCAGCCGCCGCCUUCUGCUCCUCGGAUUCCUGGGUAAGGUCCCCGACCCUCUUCUCUAGGGGGGCGACCUUUUCCCGGGCCUCCUGAGCCUCGGAUGCGAGGGCCGAGCACUUUUGCCGAAGCUCGGCAGAGAUCUCGCACUCCUUCGCGAGCUCCCCCUCAGCCGCCUCCCUAGCAGCCCUUUCGUUUUCGCAGGUUGCCCAGGCAUCUCUUUCCCUGCAGAGAAAAACUGACUUCUCCAGGGAUGUAGCCUUGAGCGCCUACAGAAACGGAAGUCGCACAGGGAGUCAGUAUUGCAAAAUAGAGCAAAAAUACUCCACAACAUGGGAGGAAGCCUUACCUGGGCCAAGUUGUACAUAUCUCGGCUCAUGAGCUGAGAAGCUUGGUUGAUGGCCUCGACGCUGGCACGCCCGCAUGCGUCUAGACCCUGCCAGAGGUAAUCCUCCGACGGGUCGUCCAUAACGAAUCUGGCCCCUCCCUCUGCGUCGUCGAGGUUGGGCCAGAAUACGGGGCUCUUGCCCCAUCGGGCAUCGCCCUCCCCUCCCACCGCGGGAGCCUCGGGCGCCGUCUUGGACGCCACGAUGGCUCGGCCUUCCUCAGCCUGCGCGGGUCGGACCGCACCUCCUAGAUCCGCAUCCGCCGACGGAGACAUAGCCCCAGGGGCAGGGGACCGUCUCCUCCGGCCCUUGGGGCCUCGGCGCCCCCGUGUCCUGCCCCUGACGGCGCUCCCCCUCCUCGCGGCUCAGAGGGGGUGGCGACAUGGGCCUAGCCGACCUAGGAGUCGACUGUGCCCCCCUCUUCACGGCCUUUAGGGGGGCCAGCACCACCGGUGCCGCCUUUUGCUUCCGGCUGAAGAAGCAACACAAAUCAGAAGAAAGAGAAAAACAAAGAAUCAACGGAAGGAUCAGAAAUCCUAUACGUACCUCGCUCGGGGGGCAGCCUUCUUCUGGGAGCUCGGAGCUCCUUGGGAGCCUCCCGAAGCGCCAGGGGCCGUCGGCCGAACCCCCGUCUCUCCUGCAGACGUCGCAGGGGCCACGACGGUGGUCUCAGCCUGCGUCGCCUCCACCGAGGCGCCGGCUCCCGCCCCGGACGAUGAGCGAGGCUCGGCCAGACCCUCUGGCGCUACCGGUUGAGGGGGCGCCUCGGAUUCGCCCCCCGACGCCUUCUCCCCCUCCUGGGGACCCACGGGGGCUGAACCCUCCCGAGGUGCGCUGUCCUCGUCAUCCAUGAUAAUAUGGGGGACGGUCUGCCCGCCCCCCGGCGCCUGGGACCCCUCGGGGGCCUCCAACCCCCCUCGGGCCUUCGACCCCUCUGGGAUCUCAAUCCACCCGCCAGCAGGGGGAAUUAUGUCGUCCUCCUCCACCAACUCGUCAAGCCAGUCGGCGUUGUCUCCUCCACCCUCUAUCUCCGAGACCGAGGUCUCGGGAGAGGGGGGCGUGGCGACCCCCACCUUCUCGGCUUCACGGUGGUUCUUGGCGGAGAUCUCCUGCCGUUGCGCUUUCCGCGCUGCUUUAGCCUUCUUGUCCUCCUUGGCCUUCUUCUGUUCGUCAUUCCGGGCCCGAUUCUUGGCCCGGAUCUCCUUGUCCUCUAGGACAGGAGGCAAGGAAUCCCUGACGAUCCCCAUCCUCUGCAAACAACCAAGGGUCAGGAAAAAGGCAGGAAGAAAAAGGAGGCAGGCGCAAAAAUUCACACUUUACCAGAGAAAUGUAGCCCUUUUCAGGGCGCAUCGGCACCACCCGAGAGUUCUUCAUGUCCGGGUGCGUCGUCUUCUCCACCCGGGCGGUGAUGUCUGAUGCCGAUAUCGGCUCGGCCAGCAUCUUCGUCCCAGCCCAGGGGACGUCCUGAGUCAUCUCAAACAUGAACGCUCAUCGCUGCGCCAGCGGAAGCAGACUCCUCUUGUGGAAGGCUAUCGCCACCGUGGCCGCGGUGACUUGGGCAUCCCGCAGCUUCUGGAGCCCCGCGAGAAGCGGGGCGAGCCUCUUCUGCUCCUCGGUCGGAGCACCCCACACCCACUUCUGGGGGGCCUCUGUCACCAUCUUCCCGGUGUACGGCGGGAGCAGACCGCCGUCAUUCCGGAGGUAGAACCACCCGUUCUGCCACCUCGGAUUCGACGAGGGCAUCGAACUCCAGAUGUACUGCCCAGCCCGUUGCUGACGAAGCUACAGCGUGCAACCGCCGACUCGCAGAGGGAACUUCUCUCCUCCUACGUAGCGGGCCGACAUCUCCGCCUUGAAAAGGUGAAGCCAGAGUUUCCAAUGGGCGGGAACCCCCAGAAACCCCUCACAAACCGUAGCGAAGACGGCGGCCUGCAUCACCGAGUUAGGGUUGAGAUUGUGCAGCUCCACCUCGUAGUAGUGAAGGAUAGCCCGGAUCAGCCGACCGGCCGGAGUUCCGAACCCCCGGUCUAAGAACGAUAGGAAACAAACCACAUAGCCCGGGGGCUGUUUUGGCUCCCUGUCGUUCACCAAAGGAACGAUCCACUCCGGGAACUCAACAUCCUUGAGAGGACGGAGAAUCCUGGCCUUCACACGCGCCUCCAGCGCGGACUUGGUGACGCUGCAGGGCGGCCACACAUCAUCGCCGGCCAUGGCUUUGGGUGGAGAAGGGCGUCUGCAUGGCGGAAGUGAAGAAGAUGGCGGCAGAAGAGAAGGCAGGGGGCAGGAGUUUUCUUGCGCAAGAGCAGUAGGAAAGGAACCAAGUCCCCUGCGGCCGCUUUUAUAGAAGGGGCGCGCCACGGCCACGCCGCCUGCGCAGAAGGCCAAGGUGGAAGGAGAGCAACCGUCGCCCACUCCCCACCAGGUGAAAAAUUCGAAGGGCUAACUCCCUCCGAUUCCCACGCCCGCCGCACGCGUGCAUUUAUUUCGCAGGCGAAACGUCCCAUCCGUCCAGGGCGAAACGGCACGGCCGUUUCGAGUCCCCACGCGCCAUGCCUCAAAAGGUGUGCCUUGAAAAGUCAUGUCAGGGCGGUUCCUUCCAGGGCAAGCGGCACUCGACCCCCCACUGACCAAGGUCGCAGGGCGGUCUCCGUCAGGCGCAGUCCCUGUCUCGCCCGACCCCCUGCUAACCCCGAGCAAAAAUCGCAAGGCGGUUCCCGUCGGGUGCAGAUUUCGUCUCGCCUGACCCCAACACUACAAACAAGUCUGAAAAAUCCUUUCGAGGCCAAAAAUCCUCAGGCCAUGGCCACCUACGUUCCAGAGGUUGCGAGACUGACCUGCAAAACAGGUUCGAACAGUCGCCUCAGGAUGACUGAGCGAGGGAUGAUUGAAGAUGAGCACAAUAGAGGCCAAGGUCCGAGCCCCGUAGGGAGUCGGCGCAUCUUUACUAGUCAUAUCCGAGACCCAUGCGGGUGUCACGUGAGUGGGAUCCCAUCGAGGGAGGCACCGAGCCCUCGGAACCUAAUAAACGGUUCCGACAUCCACCGUGACUGCCCUCGGCUAUUUUUGAGAUGUGCCCAUAAGGCCACUAGCCGACCCCAAUCGAAUGGGACUCGGACAUCCACUUGGAUCUACCCGCUUGCAGCUCCCGGGAAGCGUCGCUACUCGCCCAUCGAGAGUAGUACGGCACGACCCACCCCUCCUCCGAGCGAAAGGAAGAAUGAGGGACGUAAUCACAAGACGAGAAAGAACCCGAUCGACCCUUGCGGGGAAAGGCCUCGAGGGCUUCCUCGCACCAUGGGAACAGGCACUACGUGUAAAGAACACGCAACCUAUCCCUCAAAUACUCCAGACUAUAGCACUCAGGGGUAAAAGGCUUUGAAGGAAUAACACCAUUCCUCCAAAAGGCUCGGGGCCUACACCCGGCAGAUGCGCUCGCGCGCACCCUCCGGAGAAAAGUAAAAAAGUUCCCGGUCAACAAUAGUCCCUUAGGAAAGAACCUCUGAAGAGGUGACCUCACCCCUUCAGAGGCUCGGGGGCAACUGUUGGGUACCAUAAAAAGGGAUACCCAAAUCAGAGCAAUAAAAAACGCAAAAGGCAAAGCAAAUUAACCACAAUCACCAGGGCAUGGGCCCCAGCUCAUCUGACUCCUAGGCCUCAGGUCCAAACCACGACUCGCCCGACCCCUCAGGGCCUCGGAUGCAAGUUCCGUCUCGCCCGACCCCUCAGGGCCUCGGACGCAAGUUCCGUCUCGCCUGACCCCUCAGGGUCUCGGAUGCAGACACUGCCUCGCCCGAUCCCCUCGGCCUCGGGCAUAAAUCUCGCCUCGCCCGACCCCUUCAGGGCUCGGGCGCCGGGCGCCGCUCCACCGGAUCAGCAAGACUUCCACCGCACGGCGCCCGUACCCACGACGUGACACGCGCGGUGACUCUCAUACCGCAGUAGGACAGGGUGGCGACUGUUCCAACCACCCUGGGCACUGCAGCCUUACCUCUUUCACUGUGCGACCUUACCUCUUUCACUGUGGUGUACCACCUCACAAUGAAAAGGGAAUGAGGGAGGUUAAUCAGCAUCACUAUUUGCUGUCUUCUCCCACUAUUGACAGGAUGAUCAGCAGUACCACCAAACCGACCCCCAUGACUCCUAAACAAUGAACAAUGAACACUCGAUUGAUCUAAUCCUGAAGAAUCCAUAUUCCAUUGAAUCAGCGACGGCUUGGUAACCACCUCUUAGCAUCCUUCCGAUCACUGGAAACACCAUCUUCAUGCCUUUUGACGGCACUCCUUGAAAUCAUAGAGAAUUGUGUAAUUUCUAAAGAACCCACAUCACCACAGAAGAUAUGAUAUUACAAAUCAUAUGUCUCUUAUUAGACAACCAUAUAGAAGCUACUGAUUCAAAAUCAUUCCUCAUCCUUCUAUUGCACCAAUCUAACAUAGAAUCGACUCAUUGAAAGAAAAGAUGAUAAAUUGACUCAUUUUCUCCAUCAAAAGGCAAGUCAGAUCAUUAACCUCUCUCCUUUUAGCAAAAUUAUCCCUGGUUAAAGGCCUAUUAUUAGAUAAUAGCUAGAGAAAAAAAUGAACUCUUAGUGGAAUACUCAAUUUCCAUGCAGCCUACACAAACAUAGGAACCACACCUCUAUGGUUAAUUAUAGCAUAUAAGGAUUGGACAGAGUAUUGGCCAGAAGAGCUAAAUCUCCAUAAGAUAUGGUCCUCCUCAUCUUCCAAAGUAAACUCUCCCUUACAGAAUUUAACUCUUCCCACAUAUGCAUAAGCCUGAAACUCUCCUCCUAAAAGAAAGCUACAGCUCCUCACCAUUUCAAAUCUCCUUAAUCGAUUUCCCUUGUUGCUCAUUAUAAUGUACAGAGGCCAAAAGAGAAUGGCUAAACUAGUGUUCCCCAGCCAUUGAUCUUCUUAGAACCUAAUCUUUUUGCCAUUACCAACCACCCAUCUAAUGCCCAUUUGGGCAGCUUGCAUAGCCCACAAAAACCCCCUUCCAAAAGGAUGAUGAUCCCACAUUCGAGGCAACAAAAAAUGUUAGUAUUCUCAGUUUUGUACUUGAAAUCAACAAUUUUAGUCCAUAUGGAAUUAGAUUUCAAGUGGUACCUAAAUAUCCAAGAACUAAGCAGAGCCAUGUGAAAACUUCUGAAAUCAAGAACACCUAGACCACCUACCUUCUUCUUUUGUGAUUUGUGAUACCAGUUGCCAACUUGCAAGAUGAUAUUGUUGGGAAUAUGCCCUAGAAGUAAUCAUAGAGAUGUAUCUAUAUAUUAUGUGUUCAAUGAAUAUCCAUUAAAGACAACUUAUAUCAAUUGACAAUUAUGUGAAUUGUUUGGGAAACUCUUUUACUUGCACUGUUCGCCUAAAUGGCCAUUUAGACCGUUUAAACAUGUAAACGCUACAUAGUGGUAUAUUAUUUCUGUUUAAUCAUCCGUUUAGUCUAUUUAAUUGACUGUUUAGCCCAUUUAAUGGACUAUUUAGCCCAAAUAAUGGCUAAACAACAGGUGACUAACUGUUUACCGUUUAGCAUUUAGGAAAACAUUGUUUACUUGUAUGGUUAUUCUUAUAUUAUCCUUGAGCGGAGUUCGUGUGAGGACACACAUAAAUAUUAGAUCAACACAUGUAUUAGUUGAUAACUAUGUUUCACAAGUCAUAGAUAUAGAGAUGUUAAACUAAUAAUGUGGGAACAUGUAUGACAUGGGGCUGGACUGACCCAACAUGAGAUGUUAUUAUUAUCCCUAUUCACAUCAUAUAUGUUAUAUCCUUAUACCUAAGAUUGUUGUAUGUAUUCAAAAGGUGAAAUGACCUACUCAAGGACAAUCAAAUGCUACUUCAUAAUUAGGUAGUUAUAAAAGUGGUUUUUGGGUUUGCUGGGAAACAUGCUUUAAGACAUAGACAAUCAAGAUGGAAUUUUCCCCUCUCUAUAUGAAAGAGAUAUCACUGGAUGACUCUAAUAAUUAUAUCAAGAAAUGCAUGGACAUGCUUGGGUUAAGUGUUAACCUAUGAGUUGGACCAAAUAUCUUGUGUCAAGAGAAUAAUAAAUAUAUGUUUUGUGGUGGUUCGUCUGAUAUGAUCUUUGCGUAUGCAUAGCAGUUGACACGCCUUCCUAGAGGCUGCUAUCAACUAAUGGUCGAGUAGAAGUACUCGGGCCAUGUCUAUGUGUGCGUGAACCCAUAGGGUCACACGCUUAAGGGGCUGGAUGCCUAAUUCAUUGGACCUGAAUUACAGAGGGCCUAGGAUUUACUAAUGGACCUCCAACUUGGGAGCACAUUAGGGAUGCCUAUAAAAAGAGAGGGUGGCGUGCGGCUAGGUUUAAUCCCACUCCAUUUAGCAGCUGCUACCGCUCACCCACACCCACACCUGUUACUCCUCAUGGACUAUUGAUGGUAGAUAAGUAUCCUUUUUAAAUUAUCAACAUAACAUGAGAAAGGACUAAAAUAUGAUUACCAUCUAGAUACAGGGGUUACACUGAUAGAAUUCCACGAGUUUUGGUGGUUGUCUAUUUCUAUAGGAGGUUAUCAGAAAGAGAACAAAAUAAGGUUCACAUGUUGGAUUUACAUAGAGAGAAAACCACAUCUAGCAUAAAAAGAAUACUCUAGAAGACUUGAAGAGGCGACCCUACGAAGUUGGGCCCACCUAGUAGCCAGCUAGGGGCACCCACCCAUAGGGUAGGGGCGGUUGCCCGUCCCCCUCAGCCAAUGAGGACAACCUCAUGGAUCCUACUUCCACCGACCUUGAGGAUUGUUGAUAUUAGAUAAGCACGUAGAGAAAUAAUCCACAAGCGCACAGAUAUCAGUGAGCACUUCAUUCAGGAGAUAUUCUAGAGUAUUGUUAUUUAUUUAUCCACUAGGAGAAAGCGUGCAUCUGACUAACCCAAAUCUAUACUUAACCCCUGGGCUAUAGAUAAGAUAGUGAGAUAUGAACAAUAUAGAGAGAAUUCCUUCGUCAGUCUUCUUCUAACCUAUGGUAAGCUGUGUAGUUAUGGUUCUAAGGGGGCACCUAAGGAAAAGAGACACCAUAGAGGAUGCUUAUUAACCUCGGCACACUAUCCUAACUUACCUCCUGACGGGACGUGGAUUACAGAGACACAAGGAGACUGUCACUUCCCCCUAAUGUUACCACAAAUCCGGCCGGGUAGGGAGUAUCUAUAUGUAUUCCUAGCCCAAGCACCAUGCUUAUGCUACAAAUAAUUACUCUGUUCCCAAGCACAAGUGAAUAAAGUAAACCCAUAAACCAAAGAACAAUAAGAACAAUAAAGUUACUAGUAUUAGAAGUUGAAUUGCUGAAUGAUUCUAGAACCAAGCCUUGGGUUAGGAGACUUAAUCCCACAAAUAGAACUAGAGUGGAGACACCAACAAGACGAGCUUCCUCCACUUCUAUCUCCACCCUAUACUCCCUCAAUCUCUCUUAUUGUUAAAACCCUAAAGAGAUAGAUCCAUUCAAGGGACCCCUCUCUGGCUAAUUCUCUUUAAAAAAUAUGAAUUAAGGUUUCUAAAUUGGCAGUGAUCCAAGGGGUAGGGUGUCUACUUAUAUAGCCCCCUAGGAGGCACCAUAGCCCUCAGAUCAAAUUGAUCUUCAUAGAUGGACAAGAUUACUCCUCAAAGGUGGUGCAGGUAGGAUCCGUAAGGUGGAACGUGAUUUGUGGAGCUGCUUGGUGAAAGGUCCUAAUAUGGCUAGAGGGGGGUGAAUAGCCUAUUUAAAAAUUCUACAAACUCACUAGAGCAAGUGGUUAGUAAAUAACAAAGCGAAGAUUUUUGCUCUAGCUCUAAAACCAUGCUGCUAUAGGGCUCGGUAACCCUCCACAGAAGCAACCAUGCUGCCAGCCAUCCCUCAAGGACAAGAUGGACAGGCUUCAACAGGGUCGGGACUGUAACUCUUCCACUCGGUAGGAGGAAAUCUACUCAUGUAAAUACCUAUCUCCCCUUGAGGCUAUAAAAGGGGAGCCAGGGCUCAAAACUAGGUUCAUGUUCACACACGCACAACCACCGUGCUCAUUCACAGAGCAGCGACCAGCACUCUGUCCACCACAAAGUCGAGACCUGGGACUUAGCCCUCUCUCGCAACCUGCUUGUACCCCCCUACUACAAGCACCUUUGGGUGCAAGGAUAUACAGACCCCCGAUCUCACUGGACGUAGGGCAUUCCAGGCCUGAACCAGUAUAAACCCUCUGUGUCUCACUAGUAUCACCAUCCAGGCUUGGGUAGUCACGCAAACUUAUACUCGUUUGUGUCUAGACCACGAGUCUAGACGCCGACAGUUGCCUUUGGCUCUCCACUGAGGUAGGCACAAACCUCUCACAAUCACUAGGAGAUGGCCACGAACAAUCACCAACUCGUGCCAAAGCUCCUCCACUGCUUCAAGCCGUCUAGGUGGUGGCAACCACCAAGAGUAACAAGAAAACCAUAGCUAGAAUGAUCCCCAAGUGCCACUAGAUGCAAUCACUCAAGCAAAUGCACUUGGAAUCACCCCCAAUCUCACAAAGAUGAAUAAUCUAUGAAGGAGAUGAGUGGGAGGUGUAUGCUUAGGCUCACAAGUAUGUCAAUUAUGUUAGAAUGCCAAGAGUGUGAGCCCAAAGCCGGCCAAACAUGUAUUUAUAGACCCCUCAAAAAAUAGAGCCGUUGGCUCUUUCACUGGGCAAAACCCGGGGUCACCAGACGCUGAGCAGGAGGCACCGGACGCUCAACCCCUACGUCCGGUGCUCUAGAAACGGCCAUGUGUUGACUUUUGAAUCUCACACGUCGGAGUCUAACAGUCACCUGCAGAGCACCGGACACGGUCAAGUUGCCACAGGACGCGUCCGGUGCACAUCGGUCCUAAACUCAGGGAGGUCUGCAAACGCGCAGGGUCACCGGACGCUGAGCAAUGGACCGUCCGGUGCUCACCGGACUUAAACCCAAGGAGCAUUGCAAAACGCGUGGACACUGGACUCAGAACACCGGACACUCUAACCUGCAUCCGGUGCCUGGCGUCCGGUGCCUAACCCUAGCUGAGCCAGGCAGCCUACACAUCGGACGCACAGGCAUAGCGUCCGGUGCUUCUGGGUCAGUGUCCGGUGAGUGUUUCUUAGCGAGAAAUACUACCGCGACUUCUCCAAUUUUCCCACCUGCGCAAUAGAAGAUAUGCACUUCAUUUUCUCAAAAAGCGCCGAAUGUGCACGUGUGUUAGCGUUUUCACAAUCAUUUUCUUCGAAGGAGUUAAGUUAGCUCACUAGGUUCUAAAUGCAUGCAUAUGAACAAUGACACCUAGUGGCACUCGAUAACCGCUUAGCCAAAGAAUUUCCCUCUUUAUAGUACGGCUAUCUAUCCUAAAUGUGAUCACACCUUCUGUGGUGUCUUGAUCACCAAAACCAAAACCCUAAGCAAUACCUUUGCCUUGAUCUCCAUAGGGUUUUGUUUUUCACUUUCUUCUUUUCCAAGUUGAGCACUUGAUCAUCUUGUGGUCAUCACGAUCAUCACCAUGAUCAUUACUUGCUCCAUCACUUGGCAUGUACCAACCUCAUUAAGUCUACACACGCUUAGCAUAGAGGUUAGUACUAGGGUUUGAUCAAUUAUCCAAAACCAAACUAGGGCUUUCAAUCUCCCCCUUUUUGGUAAUUGAUGACAACCCUUUUUACAAAGAUUUUCAAUAACAUUUCUUCGAUUCAUGUUGCUUGCCCAAGCAUUUUACCAUGUGCAAAGGUUAUGGACAAGUUUCAUAAACCCAAAUUGGUAGCAAUUGCUCCCCCUACAUAUGUGCUAAGAGUUUGGAUUUGAAAGCUUGCACAUAUGCUUGAACAAGAAAUAUAGGACUCAAUUUCUACCAAAUGAUGCUAAGGUGUAAAGAAAGGACCUUUGAAGCGUGAUACCAAUCGGAGUUGCCAAUGUAUACCAUCCUUAGCACCAAUAGUAACUAGACAUUCAUAAGAACUAGAACACCCCAUGAGAUCAACAUUAGAAACAAGGUUCUAGUAUCACUUGUGAAACAAAUAAUCAUUUGGUUACACUACCUAUGCAUGCUAGUUCUUCAUUUUAUCAAUCAAACCUAUAAAUAGCAUACACCACACAAGCAAGGUAUUAGAGAGAAAGUUUCUAAAGCUAAUGCUAAUGCAAGCAAACAUAUGUGAUGCACAUUCAAAUGCAACAUACAAGUUUAUGAGCUUGCUCCCCUACUUGUGUGCUUCAAAUUUUAAUUGAUCCCCUUCUUUUAUCAUGUUACUUCCUAUCUUUGUAUUUCUUUGUGGUUUCUCUCCCCCUUUAGCAAAUCUUUGGGAAAUUCUGUCCCCCUUUGUCAUCAAAGACCACAAAAGGUGAGCUCAAAUUUUAGAUAGGUUAGUGUGAAACCAUGUGAAGUGAGAUCAUUUUAGCAAAUUGGUUUAAUCUAGAUUACUUGCCUAAGAUAUUUAACUCGGUUUGAUCCAAGGACAAGCUUCUUCACACCUCCAAGUAAGGGUUAUCUUAUACCAUGUUGAGUUAAACGCUUAUAGCUCAUAUUCUAGAUCAAACACUAGGAUUGCAAGCCCGAAAACAUGUCAUAUGCUACCACUGGAUCAAGUCAAGCAUAGAAGCAAUAGUGGUACCAUACAAACAUCAAAUUCAUUUGAUUUUCAUUAAUGAGCCUAAGACAUGGGAGGAAUGACUAGAUGCACUAAACAAGUCCUUAGCAUAGGAUGGAUGACAUGUCAAACAAUUUUACCUUGGUUUGCUCAAAGGAGAGGCAUGUCAUAUAAUGGGGGUGCAUCAACACAUAUUUGAGAAGUCAAGUAUGUUCAAUUCAUUCCUUAGCUUGCAAAAUUUUUUCUCAUCAAGUGGCUUGUUGAAUAUAUCGGCAAGUUGAUCAUCGGUGCCUAUACUCUCAAUGCAAAUGUCUCCUUUUUGUUGGUGAUCUCUUAUGAAGUGAUGACAGACAUCUAUGUGCUUUGUUCUUGAGUGUUGAACUGGAUUGUUGGUGAGCUUCAUGACACUUUCAUUGUCACAUAGCAAUGACACAUGCUUGGAGUUGAUUCCAAAGUCCUUCAAAGUUGCCAUCAUCCAUAGGAUUUGUGCACAACAACUACCGGCCGCAAUGUAUUCCGCUUCGGCGGUUGAUAGUUGAACACUAUUUUGUUUCUUGGAGGACCAUGAGACAAGUGAUCUUCCCAAUAGUUGACAUGUGCCUGAUGUGCUUGUUCUCUCAACUUUGCAUCCCGCAUAGUCCGAAUCGGAAUAUCCAACAAGUUCAAACUUUGCACCUUUGGGAUACCACAAACCAACAUUUUGUGUAUGCUUCAAGUACCUCAAUAUUCUCUUUGUUGCUUUCAAAUGACUUUCUCUUGGUGAGGCUUGAAAUCUUGCACACAUACAUACACUAAACAUGACAUCCAGUCUUGAUGCGGUCACAUAGAGUAGGCUUCUAAUCAUAGACCGAUACAACUUUUGAUCCACCAUAUUUCCACUUGUAUCACUAUCUAGGCUUCCAUUUGUUCCAUUGGUGUGCUAAUUGAUUUUGCAUCAUCCAUACCAAACUUCUUGAGCAUGUCUUUGAUGUACUUGCCUUGACUCACAAAUGUGUCAUUCUUCAAUUGCUUGAUUUGAAGACCAAGUAAGUAACUAAGCUCUCCAAUCAUUGACAUCUCAAACUCAUUAGCCAUCAUGUUCCCAAACUCCUCACAAAAUUCUUGAUUGGUUGAUCCAAAUAUGAUAUCAUCAACAUAGAUUUGCAACACAAACAAGUAUUUGCCAAUCUUUUUGGUGAAGAGAGUGGUGUCAACCUUGUCCAUCUUGAAACCUUUAGAGAGUAAGAAAUCUUGUUGAUGCAAAAGCGGAUCUGCAAACACAAAGGGCUAAUACCCGAUUCAAACGUUAAGGCGUGCCAGCCGAUUUGACCUUACUAUCGGCAAAGGUGAUAACUCGAAUACUUUGGUCCCGACAACAGCGAGGCGCCUGGAUGUCACGGCCAAGAGGUAUUCACGCGGAACUCGAGAACACGCUGAGCUUAAGUCGAUGAAUUCCUAAGAACUCGUAGAAAAAAGGAAAAUAUGAUGAAGUCGUCGAAAAGUAGAUGCUAGAAUAUGAGUAAAAACUUGUGUUUAAUUGAUUGAUAGAUAUCUCAUUACAAGGCCCUAGGGUCUACAUUUAUACCCUGCUCAAAGAGCUACAAUCAGACACGACUAGGACUCAAAUUCCAAAUUAAACGGAAUCCGUAUACAAAAUGAAUUUAAGUAUCUAUGGAAAACAUAGAACUAUCCUCCCGUGACAAACCGGGACACCACCAUAGAUCAAUCGGCAACCUUCACGUCCUCCUUCCAAGUCAUCGGCAGGCUUCUCAUCAUAACCAUCGGCAAAGACUAACGCUGACCAUCGGCACAAACGCGUCGCCACUUCUGGACUUAGUCACAUUCAGCUGUCUCUUCAUCGGCAACCACCAUCAUCGGCAACUCCCCUGCAGACCAGUUACUGUCGCCCCAUAUUGCCGACCUAUACUUUACCGAUCCCUGGGUACGUGCCCAAAAACGGUGUCAACACAUGCCCCCCAAUUUCGGAGUAUAAAAUCAUUAAUGCUCCGAAAUUCUCUGCAGUAAUGAUGCCUUUCCGCAAUUAAUUCUCUCAAUUUGGUAACGACCGUUGAAGUCGAACAACCCUGGCCUGAUUCUUCCGUAGAUUCCUCGAAUUCCUCAACCUCCCAAACUAGACAUCUCCACUUUAUUCGCCCAUCGGCAAUAUUACCGUUAGAGGGAGCUGCCGAUGGACCGACCAGGAGAUCUUGCACAGUGAAAUAUCUCUAAAACCACGACCGCCUGCUGUCAAAUCACCUGUGCAAUCCCUUGAUUAUCAUGCAAACAGUUACCAUAUCCAUCUAAACACCCUCAGAUUUCAUAGAUGCGGCAAAGAGAUAAGUCAGAUUUGCCCCUACCCAUUUUGUCCUAUAAAUACUUCCUUCUCGGGUACUCCUUCUCCAUCUUGUCAUUCUACAGCCCAAAACUUACUUUCACGAUGGCGGCACCACCCGGGGUUUCCAAGAUCUCCAACGAAGGCCUUUCUCCACGAACCCCAAAGUCUUCGAUCAUCUUCCUUGCGAGGAGAUGGCCAUCAACUUCGCUGUUCCUGAGGUCAGUUCACCACCCCAUCUCUUGUACUUUUACCAUACCCCUUGUUGGGUAUUCUUAAUAUCAUUACCAAAAGUAGACAGUUUCCUAAUUCUAGUAACGGUGCCAAAAAUGCCAAACCUAUCCCUCAUACCACUUAAGCCAAGUUGUCAUCCCCAGCAUGACAUGAGAGACGCAGUAUUGAAAUAUGCAAUUGCUCUUCUAAAUAAAUAAUGAAUGGGAUCUGCAAGCGCACAGAUUAAUACCGAUGUAGCAUUUUAACCGGGAAGUAUUCCAGGUAUCGUUAUUUAUAUUUUUAGCACUGGGAAGGGAUUAGCAAUCAUCAAUAUUGAUUACAGAAUAGAAUAUGAGAUUGAGUAUCUAUCAUUGCAUAUAUAAUUGAGAACAUUUAUCUAUCUCUUUCAUACAGGGGUAAGUGUCACAUAAGGGAUAUAUGAAAUAAUGAAUAGUGACAAAGAUAAUUAAUCUGAUCAGCAUAACUUAGCCACAUAAUAAAUAUGAUAAGCACCUCAAUUAGAUACUCUAGAAAGUCAUUAGCAUGGUAUUAGAACGAACUACAAGAGUAUUUCCUAAGGUAUUCUCAACUAUAUAGUCUAGUAUUAUCAUAAUUAGUGCAAGCAUACUUAACAAUCAUUGUGAUACAAGACUACGCCCAUGCAUAGUGAUAUUAGCAAGGUAAAUGAGAAACUUAGCAAUUACUCCCCUGUAAUAAUAUUGCUCUGCCAGCCCAAUACACGAGCGGGGGACUAUAUAAGAAUCAAUGAAGCUGUCACUAUCACGAACUACCCCACGAUCUGGCAUAUUGGGUACAAUCGCAGAUAAAUACGGUAUAAGCACCACGCCUACACAAUAUCUAUCAUUUACCCAUGGAUCCGAUGGAUAAACUCUAUACGAUCCUAAGCAUGUAUAUAGAUCUAAUCUAACUAAGCCAAGUACAUAACUAUGAUAAACUAAGAACAAUAUAAUCUUGAAUAUAAACAAGUAGAGCAAAGUCAUAAGCAAUAUAUUGAAGUAAAACAAAGUCAUAUUCAUAAUAUUGAAGAACAAAGAUGAUUAGAAGAACAAUUAGAAGCACAAUUAGAGCAUUACCAAGAAUCCUCUUGACAGAUUCGGAAACCAAUCGAAGAUUGACUCCUUCUAGUUCUAAUCCUAUGUAGCUAUGCUAAUCUAGAUGUCUAAUUGAUGUGGUGGCUCUAAUCUUGAUCAGAGGCUUCUUCUCCCUUGAGGAAUAAUGAAUUAGGGUUGAGAGGCUCUCUCCUCCAGGGGCCAGGGGGUCUGGUUUUAUAGUCCCUUCAAGUGAAUAUGGGCCGUUGGAUCAAACCGACAUAGAUUGAAGGGUUAUCCUUGAUCCUUUAGGUCCGUGGAGAUCUUCCCCGAAACAGAGUCCUGAUUUGACUCCAGAGGAGGGCGGGCGCCCAGGGCAACAGGGCGGGCGCCCAGUGCCUGGCCCCGUUCGGCCUCCACUUCCUUCCCGUGGCUUAUAGAGUCUUCUAGAUGUAAGAUAAUUGCACGGCACGUUAAUAUCUCUAUGUAAUCCCGACGUGUGGGCCUUUCUUCCGUAUUUCCUGAUAACCCCCUGCAGAAAUAGACAAACACCAAAACUCAUGGAAUUCUGUCAGAUAAAACCCUAAGUCUAGAUGUUGAUUUCAUUUGGAUCCUUUUCUUUGUUUAUUUGAUAAUUAAAUUUGAUACUUAAGAACCGUCAACAAACUCCCCCAAGCUUACCUCUUGCUCGUCCCUGAGCAAGGAUACUCUCAGCGAUGGAUCAUAAGUUGUUGCAAUAUCUUUAAAAAUUGACGGUACACAUGCUUUUAAUUAAGAUCUCAUCUCUGAGUUAGAGUAAACUAUCAAUACUUAAAACUUACUUACUUUACCUUUUACCAUGGGACUUGUAACCAUCACUUCUGUCUUGAGUAGUUAAAAGAUAGAACAGUCUAGUUAAGUGCCAUGUCUCUUAUUCUUGAUCAGCUAUAGCUCUGGAGUUUUUGCAGAUUUUCAAAUAAAACUCAGAGAUUCAUUGUAUGACUCUCUCAUAUCUCUCUUUUGUGGUAUUUCUGGAUCCUUACCAAAGCAGUGAUGGUAUAUGCCUUCUCUCAAAAUAUAUGGUAUUUGUGGUAUAAAGCAUAGUGACAUUGCCUUCUCCCUCACCCUACUCUAAUAAGGCUUUAAUAUCUGGAGCUCAUAGGUGGGAGAUAAAUUAUACAUACUCACAAGACAUUUAUUUUAUAGUCAAAACAUGGAUCCAAAGAAACAAAUCAAUAAGUCAAAUCAAGAUGUGUAUGUGUGGCGAAUGAAUGGUGUAUGGUGAUGAUGGUGAUAACAAUGGUGAAAGUCUAAUUCUACUUUUGCUCUUCCUUCCUUGCUUUUUGAAACUUUGUGAGGAGAAUGAGAUGCUCUUAUUUUUCUUUUCUCUCAGGUGGGUAUCUUGUACCCCUAAUUCUACUGUCGGACACUUGUCCAUUUUUACCUCCCGUCUCACUUUUUCUUUUCUUUCGAGGUUUCGGGCACUUGCCCCUUUUUAUUUCCUCGUAUCUCUCUUUUUUUUGGAGCACUCAUCUCAUGAGAUAAUUUAGCAAGUGGUAGUAACAAGAUAACGUGAGCAUUUAUUUCACAAGGAAAAACAGAAAUAUUUUUGGCUAUUCUCUCCUGGAUUAGGAAUAGAAUAUUUUUGGGUGGUUCUGGAGAUGGAAAUGGAUGGAUAUCUGUGGAUGGUACUUCUGGAGUAGAAGUAGCAUAUAUGAGUGAACGUGCAAGUGAAUCUUGAUUUAACCACAUGACAAGCUCCUAAGGGUCUACACAGCUUGACCACACUCAAUGCUCAUAAGCAGUAAAUAGUAAAUGUGUGGCUCAAAGUCUAGCAAGCAUGUAUAUAUGGCUGUGGUAGGAAUUUAAACUCUCAUCAUAUAGGAACUCAUCAUGCAACAUUUUAAAGAUUUUCAAAGAUAAAAUUAUCUAGAAUUCUAGCAUCUCUAGGAACAGAUAAACAGCAGCUCAACCUUCCCAUAUCAUAUCCGUUAACAACUUAGACUUCACAUCAAGUUUUCAUCCCACAAGUUUAGGUCUAGAGCAAGCUUUAAAUUAUAACAGUUAUAUCUAAACUUGAGAGAGAACUUAAAACGUGUAAAUUAGGCAGAGCAACUAUUCAUCAUAUCCAUGCUAGAGUUUUAUUUAGAUACAGAUUAGCAUAGCCACUUUAUUUAUUUAUUAAACACACUAAGCAAAAGACAUAUAAGCACAAAAUCUUUAUUUGGUUUUUCCUAGUUAUAUUUUAGUAUAGUAUAAAGAUAGAUAGAAAGAAAUACUUAUCGGGAUAAAUGGGGUGCUCUCCCCCAAGCUGAAUUUUGACGUAAUUUCCCUUGAUGUAGCUAGCAGGUGGCAGAGGUGUAUUUGAAAGUCGGCAGCAUUCUAACAGCGAUUAGAAUGUCCUCCGUCUGCUAGUCUUCUUGAUUCUUAAAUUCUGUAGAGCUGAAAUAGACAACAAAGCUUAUGGAACUG